AAAUUUGACGGCUCUUGUGCCAGUUCAUUUGUUUGGGAAUUGUUGGGGUUGAUUUGGGAGGUAGUUUCCAAUUGCUUGUCAUUUUGAUUUCUGCUCAUUUUUGGUGCUACUUGGUGUGUUCGGAUUUAUUAGGUGCAGUGGGUUGGCCAUUUGAUUUAAUUUUUUUUUUCCUGUACCUGCAGCGGAGGUACUGGUUGUGGUGUUGACUAAAAUUUCUUAUUCCUUUAUGCUUGACUGCCUACUUGAUUCUUGGGUUUUAGUGCUUAAAUUGUUUCUCAAAUUCUAAACGGUGGUUGCUAGAAUUGCCUAUUGCUUGGCCCAAUUGCUAGGUUUGGUCGCAUAAAGUGGGUAAUUGAAUGUCCAAUUGGUGACAUUUGUUGAGUUUCACUUGCUCCAUUUGGUUAAAUUCUUUGCUCUAUUGGGGUCCCUGUUGGUAUCACUUGAGUUCUGCUUUGUUAGUUUCUGUAUCGUGCCCCUUGAUCUUAUUUUGACUGAAUGGGAGACCCAGUGCAUAUUCAUUC
RNAcentral lists this long non-coding RNA (521 nucleotides) under Coffea arabica (coffee). RNAcentral describes it as "long non-coding RNA (CARA_LNC008130)". The record is from RNAcentral. Lineage: Eukaryota; Viridiplantae; Streptophyta; Magnoliopsida; Gentianales; Rubiaceae.